UCCGACUUCGCCGUCGUUACCGUAGCAGUCACGACCUCCGGUGUGCUCGCCGCGUGCUCCUGUAGCUCGCCAAUCUUGCGGACCACCACGCGCUCGACGUCGCUCUAGGGCGGUUACGGGCACUGGCGGAGAAGGUCAGGGUGGCGCAGGCGGUGUACGAGCUGGAGCAGUAGAGGUGGAGGCUGUUCGAGCAACUUUAGAUGCUUCUGUUCCUGCCACGAUCCUUCCUACUCUAGAGGAGGGUAGAAUGGCGCGGCCACGUUUCGCUGUAGAAGGGGUUCAUGAUACUUUCCGAGUUUCUCUAGGCACUAAUGGUAUCCGCCUUAGUGAGACGGGCAAAGUAGUCGCUUUGACUGCUAAUACUCCUCGAUGAUUUCCUCCUUGGCCGAUAACUUAAGUGACCGCUCCACGACAGGUCAUGUUAAAAGUGGAACUAUUAGGACGAACUCUACUAAACACGUGACAAAAUAGGAUUACGUAUGGCACCAAUUAGAUUAAGAGAAAAGAACGUAUCAACGUAUAUUAUAGAACUGAUGGGCGUCUACGUUCAAACAACAUCAUAUGUAUGGAUACAAAUAUAUAAGAUAAGAACUCUUCUUUUUACGUACCGUUGGAGUAGCAUAGCGGAGAUAGAUUUAACAGAUCAGGACGAAGUGCGAAGGUAUGAUUCAACUAAUACAAUUCACGUUUUCAAUACCAUUUAGUAGUUAUUCCAGACAGACGAUUUUUGUAACGUCUCGGGACAUCGUGGGAACAGAAGGAAAAACAACGUCAUCAGAACUUGAGCUCCCAUAGAGAUAACACUAUGCACAUAAAAUUAAAGACGUCCCAACAAACUAAGGAGAACAUCCUAGUGCCACGAUACGUACCUCCGUAAACCGGCCAUGAACCUGAAUGUACUCGAGAUGUUACUCAAGUAUUUAAGGUUCAAACCUAGCGAUUACCUUAUGAGUCGUAUGCAACCAUGAAAACGAGUCUGACUUUUUUAGAACGUAUCAGAUUUUCGAUGGUCCGUUAUGUUUCUUAUAAACCUCGUAUAAAACCUUAUGGACUACAGUAAAUACAUAGCAUGUCUCGGUAACGUUCUAUAACUAUUUUAAAAAUGUUUCAACGUUUCACUCAAGCUUCUUGUCACCCGGUUACCGCUUCAUGGACCUACCCUCUUAUUCCCGUGUCUCUUUUUUAGACUUAGCGUUCUCAGACGUCAUCUGGAGCUAAUGAUGUUAUAACAACUUCUCGAACAUCUCGAACCAGGCCUUUUCAACUUUCUCCGAAAUUGACGAGCACCUAACUUCCCACCGCCGUGACAAGUUGUCGCACGACUCGCGGAAAAGAACGACUUCGUAUGUGGGAACCUUGUUAACCUAGCAUUCGUAAAACGGUUUCCACUACUAAACUUCUUCCUUUAACGAAACCAACUUCACUUCUACUUCGCGAAUACACUCUAAGAGCUACUCCAGUAACAUUCUUGUUUCCUUUUACGCCUCUUCUUCGACUGAAACUGGAUACUUCUUUACCUUCGUCUUGCCCUUCUUCUUCUUCAUGUUCGACUAUCACUUUCACUACUGCUUCUGGUUGUUUAGAUGUUGGGAGAGUUCAAUGGUUACCCAACCCUGCCCUUUGGAUAGGGGAUAACCGAGAUAUUCGAAGUGCCAGAACCAGUCCUUAAGUUCACGCUCUAUACACCAUUGGUGUCAAUGACCCCCGCUUCCCUGAUACUCGCGGUAAAGUUUCUCACCGCGGUAGUCGUACCCUACGCUACGGAACCAUAAGGAUUAUGGUUCUUGAAGUUGCUUUAAUGUAGGUAACUCCUCCGCUUUCGUGACACCCUCUCCUAUGUUCGUUUCGUUCCCGACUUGUUCACCGCCGGUCUGAACCUUCUCCUCAUGCUUCUGUUCCUACCGUUGUAGAUGUUGUUUUUCUGCAUGUGACUGGACGUCGCGGUUCCGGACUAUAUCUAUACGCUAAGAACACGCAACCCCAAACCUGCCGCGAUUUAGGUAACUUUGGACGACUGGAACUACCAGCGACGUUGAGACAUAAUCGAACGCAAUAUAUGAGACGUUCUACAAUGAGGCACAAUAUAAAAUGCGCGGCCUCAUGAACCCUCGAGUUGAAGGAAGAAGCCCCAUGUAACGUGUAAUACGAGAUAUUAACCAGGUAGAAUGAGGCACAAGAAUCCAGGACAAGCCAGUUUAGGAAAGUUCCAAAGCGAAGUUG
RNAcentral lists this ribosomal RNA (2220 nucleotides) under Triticum aestivum (bread wheat). RNAcentral describes it as "partial small subunit ribosomal RNA". The record is from RNAcentral. Lineage: Eukaryota; Viridiplantae; Streptophyta; Magnoliopsida; Poales; Poaceae.